CCUACGGGAGGCAGCAGUGAGGAAUUUUCCGCAAUGGGCGAAAGCCUGACGGAGCAAUACCGCGUGAAGGAAGAAGGUCCGUGGAUCGUAAACUUCUUUUCUCAAGGAAGAAUUAAUGACGGUACUUGAGGAAUAAGCACCGGCUAACUCUGUGCCAGCAGCCGCGGUAAU
Molecule: ribosomal RNA, 171 nt
Filed under: uncultured bacterium
Lineage: Bacteria
Description: partial 16S ribosomal RNA
Rfam family: Bacterial small subunit ribosomal RNA
Source: RNAcentral